Molecule: ribosomal RNA, 167 nt
Filed under: uncultured bacterium
Lineage: Bacteria
Description: partial 16S ribosomal RNA
Rfam family: Bacterial small subunit ribosomal RNA
Source: RNAcentral
UACGGGAGGCAGCAGUGGGGAAUAUUGGACAAUGGGGGCAACCCUGAUCCAGCCAUGCCGCGUGUGUGAAGAAGGCUUUCGGGUUGUAAAGCUCUUUUACCCGGGAUGAUAAUGACAGUACCGGGAGAAUAAGCUCCGGCUAACUCCGUGCCAGCAGCCGCGGUAAU